CCUACGGGUGUCAGCAGUCGAGAAUCAUUCACAAUGGGGGAAACCCUGAUGGUGCGACGCCGCGUGGGGGAAUGAAGGUCUGCGGAUUGUAAACCCCUGGCAUGUGGGAUCAAAUUCAAAAGAUAGUACCCCAAGAGGAAGAGACGUCUAACUCUGUGCCAGCAGCCGCGGUAAUACAGAGGUCUCAAGCGUUGUUCGGAAUCCAUGGGCGUAAAGCGUGCGUAGGAUGUUUCGUAAGUCGUGUGUGAAAGGCGCGGGCACAACCAGCGGACGGCACAUGAUACUGCGAGACUAGAGUAAUGGAGGGGGAACCGGAAUUCGCGGUGUAGCAGUGAAAUGCGUAGAUAUCGAGAGGAACACUCGUGGCGAAGGCGGGUUCCUGGACAUUAACUGACGCUGAGGCACGAAGGCCAGGGGAGCGAAAGGGAUUAGAUACCCCUGUAGUC
Molecule: ribosomal RNA, 446 nt
Filed under: uncultured bacterium
Lineage: Bacteria
Description: partial 16S ribosomal RNA
Rfam family: Bacterial small subunit ribosomal RNA
Source: RNAcentral